GAGUGCUCGAAAAGAGAACCGGCGCACAGGUGCUGCAUGGCUGUCGUCAGCUCGUGUCGUGAGAUGUUGGGUUAAGUCCCGCAACGAGCGCAACCCUUGUCCUUAGUUGCUACGCAAGAGCACUCUAAGGAGACUGCCGGUGACAAACCGGAGGAAGGUGGGGAUGACGUCAAGUCCUCAUGGCCCUUAUGGGUAGGGCUUCACACGUCAUACAAUGGUCGGAACAGAGGGUUGCCAACCCGCGAGGGGGAGCUAAUCCCAGAAAACCGAUCGUAGUCCGGAUUGCACUCUGCAACUCGAGUGCAUGAAGCUGGAAUCGCUAGUAAUCGCGGAUCAGCAUGCCGCGGUGAAUACGUUC
Molecule: ribosomal RNA, 358 nt
Filed under: Burkholderia sp. 107S
Lineage: Bacteria; Pseudomonadati; Pseudomonadota; Betaproteobacteria; Burkholderiales; Burkholderiaceae
Description: bacterial SSU rRNA
Rfam family: Bacterial small subunit ribosomal RNA
Source: RNAcentral